AGUGAACGCUGGCGGUAGGCCUAACACAUGCAAGUCGAACGGCAGCACAGUAAGAGCUUGCUCUUACGGGUGGCGAGUGGCGGACGGGUGAGGAAUACAUCGGAAUCUACUUUUUCGUGGGGGAUAACGUAGGGAAACUUACGCUAAUACCGCAUACGACCUACGGGUGAAAGCAGUGGAUCUUCGGACCUUGCGCGAUUGAAUGAGCCGAUGUCGGAUUAGCUAGUUGGCGGGGUAAAGGCCCACCAAGGCGACGAUCCGUAGCUGGUCUGAGAGGAUGAUCAGCCACACUGGAACUGAGACACGGUCCAGACUCCUACGGGAGGCAGCAGUAGGGAAUAUUGGACAAUGGGCGCAAGCCUGAUCCAGCCAUACCGCGUGGGUGAAGAAGGCCUUCGGGUUGUAAAGCCCCUUUGUUGGGAAAGAAAAGCAGCAGGUUAAUACCCCGCUGUUCUGACGGUACCCAAAGAAUAAGCACCGGCUAACUUCGUG
RNAcentral lists this ribosomal RNA (492 nucleotides) under uncultured bacterium. RNAcentral describes it as "partial 16S ribosomal RNA". It matches the Rfam family "Bacterial small subunit ribosomal RNA", at positions 29 to 507 of the family's 1533-position model. The record is from RNAcentral.